UACGAAGGGGGCUAGCGUUGCUCGGAAUUACUGGGCGUAAAGGGCGCGUAGGCGGACAGUUUAGUCAGAGGUGAAAGCCCGGGGCUCAACUCCGGAAUUGCCUUUAAGACUGCAUCGCUAGAAUCCGGGAGAGGUGAGUGGAAUUCCGAGUGUAGAGGUGAAAUUCGUAGAUAUUCGGAAGAACACCAGUGGCGAAGGCGGCUCACUGGACCGGUAUUGACGCUGAGGUGCGAAAGCGUGGGGAGCGAACAGG
Molecule: ribosomal RNA, 253 nt
Filed under: uncultured bacterium
Lineage: Bacteria
Description: partial 16S ribosomal RNA
Rfam family: Bacterial small subunit ribosomal RNA
Source: RNAcentral